UGCUGCCUUGCUUCGAGGACAUCAAAGACACAGCAGCCGGGCAGGGUCGAGAGUUUAAAGGUCAGAGGUGAGACCAGGGUAGACAGGCAAAGCAGAGAUGCAUUGUGGGCCUACUUCAGAGCGUCUCUCUCCGCCUGCCCUCUGCUCUGCUACUUCUCUGUGUUCAAAGGUGCAGCUGCUGCUCCUCUAACUCACAUCCCAUGCAGUUCAAAGGCUACAUAGAGGCUGCUGCUGCUGGUGCGUAUACAAUCCAGGUUCGCCUCAAGUGCUUCCAGAAUAUCCCUGUCCUCCGAGAAAUGUACCGUCACAUUGUUAAGAAGAUCCUUCAGCAUCUUGACAAACAUGCCCACACAGGACUGCUAUGGAAAAAUAACAUGGCUUAGUCAGGCUAUUGUAAAUAAAAGUCCAUGUGUCAUCAUUACCCGAGCCCAACAAAGCUCGGUCUAAAUAGUUCAGAGUGCAGGUGGUGAAAAGGGUGCAAUACUUACUGCAUUAUCUUUAUUGUAUGUCACACGCAUCAUCUGUGUCUACAGGGAAAGAAAAUGUGUUUAAUUCCUUCAUUCAGAUAUUUUAUUCUAUCUGUAAGGUUAUGACUUUAACAAUAAAGCGUCUGACAGAAAGACCUGCAAGAGUGAAGCCACAAGUGUGGAAAUAAAGUGUGAUAAUAUGCAAUGCAAUAUACUUACAGAUGUGAUAUUGAUGCGUUUCUCUUUGUAGAGUAUGUUGAGCCUGUCCAGUUGCUCUAUAAUCUCCUUGUUCACCUGCCUGUUUGACUGAACACUGUAGUAGAGAUGCAACAGGACGAGAAGGGCAAGCACGAACUUCAUACUGCAGCGUUGUUUCUUUUCCUUCACAGCUUCUUCUUGUUGUCUUAAGUGUGAGUCUUGAUGUGAUCAGUAUCUAGCCCAUUCUUUUUAUAUACACAAGAAAAAGGAAGUCAAUGACGUAUCCUUGACUCGUCGUAAAAAACACCUACCUGAAAAUGCAAAUAAUUGUUUUCUUUUUCAUGUGAUGGGCAUCCUUUUAGGGUAUUUUCAAAAUCUGAACAGAAACUUAAGACAUAAAAGUUAUUUAUGUAUAUCACCUCUGAUAUGAGUCAGCGUCAACAAUCUUGUUUUACUGCAUUCUGGUAGAAGACAUUCUUGAAGAGAUAGUAACUACAUGCAAGCAGUUCAUGAGCUUGUUUGCUUUUAAAAGAACAAGCAAACUAUUUUGCAACUAUGUGUACAAAUGCAAAUAGAAGGGGCCUCCAAUAUUUUGUUAUGACAUAUGUAAUCAUGUAAACUCACUUUUAUUUACUCACUACGACUUUUUCACCAUUUCAAAGCUUUUAAUGUUGCAUUGUUUUUUUAACAGUGAGUACUCUGUGUUCAUGUAAUAUCAACACAUUGUCAUUGACCUCAAUGAGCUGUUAACAUCGCUGUAUUCUAAACUUUAUUUCACUACUUGGAGGUGAUCUAAUUAUGUCAAUGCUGUGAGGUCUUACUGCAAAUAUAAUAAAUGUGCCACAGCUUAUGGAUAAGAGCUACACAGUAACCAGUAAAAAGGAUUUUGGUCUGCUCCUGCAACUUUUAGAAAUGAACUGGUAUGUCAUUGAACAUGGGGAGAAAAAAAAUAACAUGUUCUUAGAGUAUAAGGAAGUACUUUCUUAAAGAGUGAGAGAAACUGAGAUGGGCAUCCCUUCUCCUUUUUUCAUCCCCACUUUCCGAAAAUUUCUCACACUUCAGUUUCUGUGGUCAGAAAAUAUAGUUACUACAGUGUAAUGACUAAGUGUGGGUCAUUUCAAAGUUUCUGUUUUUUUCCCCUAUGUCCAGGGCAUUGGUUAAAGUGAUGAUUCAUAUGUAAGUAAGUGGGUGAUGGAGAUCCCCAACCUUGGCCUGCCGUGGCACGUACAGUUUAAUUUGUGUUAGCACAGUUUCACGGGGAAACUCCUUUGAAGUUUAAAUAUUCAGUGUAUCAGUUUUAUUUGAAGGAGCGGUGUGUAGGAUUUGAUUCAAUUAUAUUCACAUAUUCUAUUUGUAUAUAAUUAUAACAAAAGUUAUGUCAGGACACCUCUCAAAUACAGUAGGUCUAGACUAUAAUCCUUAUAAAAUUGUUUACAUAGAGCCAACAGUUCCCACCUUGAACAAGCACUUUGUGACAGACCCCGGCUGUAGGUGGUUGAUCUUCUGCCUCAACCGCUUGGGGAGGAAGAGGGAGGCUUAAUGGGGGUGGGGGAGAGACACAGAUGCAGAGCAAUAAAAAAAAUAGCGACAGUCACAAUUAUAAUACUUUAAAGAUGACUAAUAAUAAUAAUGAUGAUGAUGCAAAUUGCAACUACUUGAACAUUGUGGCGUCUGUAUUUGACGACCUGAGAAUGAGAACAAGGUGUGAAGUGUGUAGGAACGCAAAAGGCCCUGUCUAACUGUCCCUUCUGGGCUACUGUAGAAAGAUGAUCUACGUGAAAAGGCGACCAACGGUGUCUGUAGAUAAAAACUCAACUUCUAAGGUAAAAAAAAAACAACAAUUCCUAUAUUGAGGUGAAUACUAAUGAAAUCAUAGCUAUGAAUAUUACAUCAAUUUCUGCCACUAGAUCCUCCUAAAUGUUACACACUGGACCUUUAAGUGGAUAUAUUUAACAAGCUUUAUUUUUUUAAUGUACAGAAGGAAUUGACACUUCCUGUAAGAAUAUCUG
RNAcentral lists this long non-coding RNA (2674 nucleotides) under Dicentrarchus labrax (European seabass). RNAcentral describes it as "lncRNA (ENSDLAG00005034916.1)". The record is from RNAcentral. Lineage: Eukaryota; Metazoa; Chordata; Actinopteri; Moronidae.